Molecule: transfer RNA, 71 nt
Filed under: Dipodomys ordii (Ord's kangaroo rat)
Lineage: Eukaryota; Metazoa; Chordata; Mammalia; Rodentia; Heteromyidae
Rfam family: tRNA
About the family: Transfer RNA (tRNA) molecules are approximately 80 nucleotides in length. Their secondary structure includes four short double-helical elements and three loops (D, anti-codon, and T loops).
Source: Rfam by way of RNAcentral
GGGAAUGUGGCUCAGUGGUGAGAGUGCUUGCCUUGCACGCAAAAGGCCCUAUGUUCAAUUCCUCAUCACCA